UAUCUCGGCUUUUCAAGCAUUAAUGGUUCAGAAUCAAUGAAAACUUUUGCUCUUCUAGUUCAGGAAUUAGUGAUCUAUAAUCGAUGGUGAUUUUCCUUUGAAUGUCUUAACGCAAUGUAAAAUCAUCUUUUUUCUUGGGAUGGAAUGAAAUUGAUUUAAAAUCAGGUUGGUGUAUAAUUUGUUGUUAUGAUGAGUGGAAGUCUCCAAAAGUUUUUAUGUAGAAGUUAAGUGAAAAAUAUAUAUAAUGUCAGUGUUUUAGUUGAUCUCUCUUGUUUCCGUUUUAGCUGAUUCCUGUUUAUUUUUCUUAGGUUUCUAGUUGAACGAUGUUUACAUUUGAAAUCCCAUUUCCAUUCAUGUUUUUUGCUGUCAUUUUG
RNAcentral lists this unclassified non-coding RNA (374 nucleotides) under Hevea brasiliensis (rubber tree). Lineage: Eukaryota; Viridiplantae; Streptophyta; Magnoliopsida; Malpighiales; Euphorbiaceae. The record is from RNAcentral.